GCCUGGGUAGCUCAGUCGGUUAAGCGUCUGACUUCGGCUCAGGUCAUGAUCUUGUGGUUUGUGGGUUCCAGCCCCACAUCAGGCC
RNAcentral lists this transfer RNA (85 nucleotides) under Felis catus (domestic cat). It matches the Rfam family "tRNA". From Rfam's summary of the family: Transfer RNA (tRNA) molecules are approximately 80 nucleotides in length. Their secondary structure includes four short double-helical elements and three loops (D, anti-codon, and T loops). Lineage: Eukaryota; Metazoa; Chordata; Mammalia; Carnivora; Felidae. The record is from Rfam by way of RNAcentral.